CUGAAGAUCAUGCACAUAGAGGAGGGGACGGAUAAUGGGGCCAAUCCUAUGUUUCUUAUGGAGUUGAUGGAGAUAACGAAGCACUGGAUGAGGCACAGAGCAAAGAAGAAACAGACAAGAUAGGUGCCUCUAUGAAAGAGAAAUUGAAAGACUUGACUGAACAAAUAGAUGCAUCGCUGCACAAAGGAGAGCUUCAAGCUGCCAAAGCACUUCUCGCACAAAUGAAAUACUUUGCGAGCAUUGAAGACAAGGUGAAGGAAAAACUUUCAGAGCUAAUGUAAACUUUGUUGACUUUGUUUUGAUACGUCUUGGGUCUUUUUAAAGCUGUUUUGAAUGUCUUCAAUACUUAUAAUAAUACAAUUAGUAUUUAUUUAUUAUGUACAGUAUUUGUUAAAGUUUCAGGUAUAAUAAUACAUGUCAAAUAUUAAUAGGUUACACGUUGACAUCAUUUUUGUGUGAUGGAUCAAUUCAAAAGUCAAUUAUUGAGUAUGUUAUAUUUAUUUAUAUUAUAUGAAAAGCUUUUAACUCAACUAUCUCCUGCGCAAUAGAUGUGUCCGUAAAGAAUACAGUAACAACAUUGGAGGGUUAAGCUGGUGUAGUAAAAGACAUGCUCCGGUACUUGGUGACUAAGAAAGUAUUUUUAAACCUCCCACUUUGGGAAGCGACUGUUUUCUUAAAGCUGUGCCGUGCCUUUUUCCCUAUAUUUCUCCCCACGUGGGCCAGCCCCUAGCAAUUAGAAUUUUAGCCAAUGAGCUUCAGCCCCUCGCAUUUGAGUGACAGCUAGCAAUGAGGUUGCAGGGUGGGCCCAAUGGCUCAGUGGACACCUCAGAGAGGGAGGGAGCAAGAGAGAGAGCAAUGAUGUGGGACCACUUUUGGAUUGUGAGUGCUACUUUCAGAACUACUGACUAAAAAGUAUCAGAGAAUCUCUUUAAAUUAAAUGCAUCAUUUACUAUGACAAAGAGACAUGUAAUUGUCAGUUAUUUAAAUACUGCACAGUCACAAAGUUUAGAUAUGAUUAUCUUGCCUAUCAGUAUAGCAUUUGUUAUUAUGGCCUGUUGUUGAGUCACACGGGGUGAUGCGAGUUGAGAAUAUACCCCUUGUAACCUGUAGCAGGAGACAUACUUCCUUGAAAAUACUGGAGGAAAAAUAGCAGCACAUACCUUUCUCUGCCUGAACCAAAAGGAUGCCCUUCACAUAAUUAGAAAGAU
Long non-coding RNA from Salvelinus namaycush (lake trout), 1208 nucleotides. RefSeq lists it as uncharacterized. The record is from RefSeq and is a predicted model, not a curated record. Lineage: Eukaryota; Metazoa; Chordata; Actinopteri; Salmoniformes; Salmonidae. The transcript has 3 exons.